GGGUGCGUGGCGCAAUGGCUAGCGUGUUUGGCUUCGAUGCUGUUUACGUAAUACCAAAAGGCUGCAGGUUCGAGUCCUGCCGUGCUCA
Mycena polygramma is the source of this 88-nucleotide non-coding RNA. NCBI's taxonomy places the organism in Eukaryota, Fungi, Basidiomycota, Agaricomycetes, Agaricales, Mycenaceae. The record is from the annotation of a GenBank genome assembly.